CAAUUUUGUCUUCAUAAACAGAUUAUCUGCGUUACAACAGUUCCCUCCAUUGAUCUCAUGGUCCUUUUUGCCACCAAAGAGGUUUGACCCCCAGAGCAGAAGACAAGGGAUGUCAUAUUGUAUCUAUAGGUUCAUCAGCUAAGAUAUGGAGUCCAAGCCAGCUUGAACAGGAUCAUCUGAGGGAGAGAAGAUGAAGAAGAGACUGUCCAAUAUGGUAGUCACCAGUGUCAUACGGCUAUGGAGCCCUAGAACUGCGGCUGACGACAUUGAGAUGUGCUAGAAUGAGAGAACCCUCUGAUGUGGAGUGAGCAGGACCUGAAAUUACUUCCAGAACUAUCCUUGGCACACACCACAAAGCCCCAAAGCU
Long non-coding RNA from Homo sapiens (human), 367 nucleotides. RefSeq lists it as uncharacterized. The record is from RefSeq and is a predicted model, not a curated record. The transcript has 3 exons. NCBI's taxonomy places the organism in Eukaryota, Metazoa, Chordata, Mammalia, Primates, Hominidae.